CCUACGGGUGGCAGCAGUCGAGAAUCAUUCACAAUGGGGGAAACCCUGAUGGUGCGACGCCGCGUGGGGGAAUGAAGGUCUUCGGAUUGUAAACCCCUGUCAUGUGGGAGCAAAUUAAAAAGAUAGUACCACAAGAGGAAGAGAUGGCUAACUCUGUGCCAGCAGCCGCGGUAAUACAGAGGUCUCAAGCGUUGUUCGGAAUCACUGGGCGUAAAGCGUGCGUAGGCUGUUUCGUAAGUCGUGUGUGAAAGGCGCGGGCUCAACCCGCGGACGGCACAUGAUACUGCGGGACUAGAGUGAUGGAGGGGGAACCGGAAUUCUCGGUGUAGCAGUGAAAUGCGUAGAUAUCGAGAGGAACACUCGUGGCGAAGGCGGGUUCCUGGACAUUAACUGACGCUGAGGCACGAAGGCCAGGGGAGCGAAAGGGAUUAGAUACCCUAGUAGUC
Molecule: ribosomal RNA, 446 nt
Filed under: uncultured bacterium
Lineage: Bacteria
Description: partial 16S ribosomal RNA
Rfam family: Bacterial small subunit ribosomal RNA
Source: RNAcentral